RNAcentral lists this ribosomal RNA (503 nucleotides) under uncultured bacterium. RNAcentral describes it as "partial 16S ribosomal RNA". It matches the Rfam family "Bacterial small subunit ribosomal RNA", at positions 30 to 523 of the family's 1533-position model. The record is from RNAcentral.
ACUGAACGCUGGCGGCAGGCUUAACACAUGCAAGUCGAGCGGGGUGAUGGUGCUUGCACUAUCACUUAGCGGCGGACGGGUGAGUAAUGCUUAGGAAUCUGCCUAUUAGUGGGGGACAACAUCUCGAAAGGGAUGCUAAUACCGCAUACGUCCUACGGGAGAAAGCAGGGGAUCACUUGUGACCUUGUGCUAAUAGAUGAGCCUAAGUCGGAUUAGAUAGUUGGUGGGGUAAAGGCCUAGCAAAGGGACGAUCUGUAGCUGGUCUGAGAGGAUGAUAGGCCACACUGGGACUGAGACACGGACCAGAAUCCUACGGGAGGCAGCAGUUGGUAAUAUUGGACAAUUGGUGGGACCCUGAUCCAGCCAUGCCGCGUGUGUGAAGAAGGCCUUAUGGUUGUAAAGCACUUUAAGCGAGGAGGAGGCUCUUUUGGUUAAUACCCAAGAUGAGUGGACGUUACUCGCAGAAUAAGCACCGGCUAACUCUGUGCCAGCCGCCGCGGUAA